AUUGAACGCUGGCGGCAUGCCUUACACAUGCAAGUCGAACGGUAACAGGUCUUCGGAUGCUGACGAGUGGCGAACGGGUGAGUAAUACCUCGGAACGUGCCCAGACGUGGGGGAUAACGAGGCGAAAGCUUUGCUAAUACCGCAUACGAUCUAAGGAUGAAAGCAGGGGACCGCAAGGCCUUGUGCGUUGGGUGCGGCCGAUGGCAGAUUAGGUGGUUGGUGGGAUAAAAGCUUACCAAGCCGACGAUCUGUACCUGGUCUGAGAGGACGACCAGCCACACUGGGACUGAGACACGGCCCAGACUCCUACGGGAGGCAGCAGUGGGGAAUUGUGGACAAGGGGCGAAAGCCUGAUCCAGCAAUGCCGCGUGCAGGAUGAAGGCCUUCGGGUUGUAAACUGCUUUUGUACGGAACGAAAAGGCUCUGGCUAAUACCUGGGGCACAUGACGGUACCGUAAGAAUAAGCACCGGCUAACUACGUG
Molecule: ribosomal RNA, 482 nt
Filed under: uncultured bacterium
Lineage: Bacteria
Description: partial 16S ribosomal RNA
Rfam family: Bacterial small subunit ribosomal RNA
Source: RNAcentral